Molecule: ribosomal RNA, 497 nt
Filed under: uncultured bacterium
Lineage: Bacteria
Description: partial 16S ribosomal RNA
Rfam family: Bacterial small subunit ribosomal RNA
Source: RNAcentral
GAUGAACGCUGGCGGCGUGCCUAAUACAUGCAAGUCGAGCGAACAGACGAGGAGCUUGCUCCUCUGACGUUAGCGGCGGACGGGUGAGUAACACGUGGAUAACCUACCUAUAAGACUGGGAUAACUUCGGGAAACCGUAGCUAAUACCGGAUAAUAUUUUGAACCGCAUGGUUCAAUAGUGAAAGACGGUUUUGCUGUCACUUAUAGAUGGAUCCGCGCCGCAUUAGCUAGUUGGUAAGGUAACGGCUUACCAAGGCAACGAUGCGUAGCCGACCUGAGAGGGUGAUCGGCCACACUGGAACUGAGACACGGUCCAGACUCCUACGGGAGGCAGCAGUAGGGAAUCUUCCGCAAUGGGCGAAAGCUUGACGGAGCAACGCCGCGUGAGUGAUGAAGGUCUUCGGAUCGUAAAACUCUGUUAUUAGGGAAGAACAAAUGUGUAAGUAACUAUGCACGUCUUGACGGUACCUAAUCAGAAAGCCACGGCUAACUACGUG